AUGAGAAGUAUGCUGCAGAGGGUUGCCGCCGGAGGGAGGCCCGAAAGAGCAUCUUCUUGGACCAUCUUCUGCGAUCUGCAGACUUGCAUCUCUGAGCCCCUUAGAGUUACUCAUUACGCUCUCGAUGCUGUUCGACGACUUUUCUGUAAUAGAGGAAUGGGAAGAGGACGGGAAUGUGCAAUGGGGAUGGAAAGAGAAACUGUCAAUACUGCUGAGGAGCGAACGGGACAAAAACAAUCUGCUGAUGCCGAUUAUUAUGAUUAUUACAUCAACCUACAGGCUGAGUAUUACCUCCAAGUCACCGACGAUAAUGACCGCAGAAACUUUGAAGACUCCGACCACGAAGAAGUUGAUCCAGAUUGGCCUCCGCCGAGUCUCGCAAUUUACUAUGGUGGAGAUAGCCCUAAUGUAGACGCGGCUUACUGUUUUUCCCGGGACCUGGUGGAGCUGUUGUCUGUGCGUCCUCGCUUUCCCUUUGCGGGCACCUUCGCUGCCUUCAACGAUCGUUCUGCCUACUACUUCUCCUCGCCGAAAGGUCAACAACAACGUAAUGUGGAUUCUCAGGGAAAUUUGUUACUCCGUGCACAAGGCAAGGCCAUUGAGGACGCCUUUCAAAUUAAAAUUGAAAUCCCAGAUGGAGAUAAUGGAAUUGAUUAUGGGUACCUGGUCUUCAGGGUAAACCCGUACGCGUGCAACGAAGUUAUAACCCGCACCAUCCUGACAGCUUGUGGCCGCAAAAUAGACGUGGCUUUUGUGCCGCUCUACUGUGCUAUACAAGCAAGGGUGUUUGUCACCCUUGAUUUGGUAGCUGGUGCUGGCUCUAGCACGGGUGGCGCCAUCUAUUAUGUCUACGGCGAAAUCACUGCACACCAUCAGUUCUACGGCGACAAGAAUGCCAUGCUCUUUUACUGUGAAGAAGGGAACAAAGCGGAGGUUGUUGGCGGCAAGCUUCCACUGUUACGGUCUUGGGCGGCUGUUCCGAUAUACUUAGAUCCGCUCUUGAUAAUCAAGUUGAGCCUUCACGUCUCUACUAACCCUGAGCAUGAUCCUGAUGGUCAUACCAUCUCCUUCCAAGGUGAUCUUAGCUUCGACCGUGACCAGUAUGAAAAAUCCAUUUGCAACGCCCACCAUGGCGCAGUUAAAGUGCGGAUCUCUUACGAGUAA
Molecule: ribosomal RNA, 1164 nt
Filed under: Triticum aestivum (bread wheat)
Lineage: Eukaryota; Viridiplantae; Streptophyta; Magnoliopsida; Poales; Poaceae
Description: partial small subunit ribosomal RNA
Source: RNAcentral